Molecule: ribosomal RNA, 838 nt
Filed under: uncultured bacterium
Lineage: Bacteria
Description: bacterial SSU rRNA
Rfam family: Bacterial small subunit ribosomal RNA
Source: RNAcentral
UACGAGGGAUGCAAGCGUUAUCCGGAAUUAUUGGGCGUAAAGCGUUUGUAGGUGGGCGAGUGUGUUUAAUGUUAAAUCUUAAAGCUCAACUUUGAAAUUGCGUUAAAAACUGCUUGUCUUGAGUAUGGUAGGGGUAAAGGGAAUUCCCAGUGUAGCGGUGAAAUGCGUAGAUAUUGGGAAGAACACUAAACAGCGAAGGCACUUUACUAGGCUAAUACUGACGCUGAGAAACGAAAGGUAAGGUAGCGAAACGGAUUAGAUACCCGUGUAGUCUUACCCGUAAACUAUGGACACUAAACGGUAAAUUUUUAAUUUACUGUUAAAGCUAACGCGUUAAGUGUCCCGCCUGGGGAGUAUGCUUGCAAAAGUGAAACUCAAAGGAAUUGACGGGGGCCCGCACAAGCGGUGGAGCAUGUGGUUUAAUUCGACGGUACACGAAGAACCUUACCAGGAUUUGACAUGCUAGAUAGUUGCUUGAAAGAGUAACGUGCCGUAAGGAAUCUAGACACAGGUGGUGCAUGGCUGUCGUCAGUUCGUGUUGUGAAAUGUUGGGUUAAGUCCCGCAACGAACGCAACCCUUGUCUUUAGUUAUUUUCUAAAGAGACUGCCUGUAAUAAACAGGAGGAAGGUAAGGAUGAGGUCAAGUCAUCAUGCCCCUUAUGUCCUGGGCUACACACGUGCUACAAUGGGAAAGACAAUGAGCUGCAAAUCUGUAAAUUUAAGCAAAUCUCUUAAACUUUCUCGUAGUUCGGAUUGUGGGCUGCAACUCGCCCACAUGAAGUUGGAAUCGCUAGUAAUCGCCAGUCAGCUAUAUGGCGGUGAAUCCGUCCCCGGGCCU